GACGAACGCUGGCGACGCGCUUAACACAUGCAAGUCGAACGGAAAGGCCUGCUUUCCCUUGUGGAUUGCGGGUACUCGAGUGGCGAACGGGUGAGUAACACGUGAGUGAUCUGCCCCCAACUUGGGUAUAAGCCUGGGAAACUGGGUCUAAUUCCCGAUAGGCCUGCAGGGUGGUGCCUGUGGUGGAAAACGAUUUUCUAGUGGUUGGGGAUGAGCUCGCGGCCUAUCAGCUUGUUGGUGGGGUAAUGGCCUACCAAGGCGGCGACGGGUAGCCGGCCUGAGAGGGUGGACGGCCACAUUGGGACUGAGAGACGGCCCAGACUCCUACGGGAGGCAGCAGUGGGGAAUAUUGCACAAUGGGCGGAAGCCUGAUGCAGCGACGCCGCGUGGGGGAUGACGGCCUUCGGGUUGUAAACUCCUUUCGACCGCGAGGAAGCCACCUGGUUGGAAGGGUGGUGACGGUAGUGGUAGAAGAAGCACCGGCUAACUACGUG
RNAcentral lists this ribosomal RNA (494 nucleotides) under uncultured bacterium. RNAcentral describes it as "partial 16S ribosomal RNA". It matches the Rfam family "Bacterial small subunit ribosomal RNA", at positions 28 to 507 of the family's 1533-position model. The record is from RNAcentral.